CUUUUUUUGUUAAAAAAACAGAGAAAGCUCUUAGCUUUUCUCUCUCGGUCCUCCACCUGGCCUAGGGUUUUGGCCAUAGCCGCCGCCACCUCCAUGGCCUAUGGCCGGAGUUGCGCGAGGGGUUACCUUUGGCCUUCGUUUUAAACCCUUUUGAAGGCCGAACCACAUGAACCCGAGAGUUAAAAAAACUUUGAACCCGCCUUAUCAAGGCCGAUAUCGGCGACGGAGGGACCUCCGACGAAGCGGCCGAGGGGUAUUUCAGGUACUUGAAGACGGACUACAGAGGCAGAGAGUAAGGGGCAAAUGGGACGUGAUGAACGGCGGUGGUAGGUGGCGGCGCCAGAAGGUCAAGGGUCUGAAUACCCUAUGCGCGGCACUGUAGCGCUAGGGUUUGACUUGUUUGGUUUGAUACUUUGGGCCAUUGGGGUUUGGAUAUUGGGCCUCGGGUUGUUGGGCUUUUGGGUAGUUCGGUUUAAAUGUUGGGUUAGGGCUUUAUUGGGCUUAGGGAUUUUUUUGUUUUUAAAUCUGUUUAUGUUUUGUGUUUGGUGUUUAAAGCCCGGGUAAAAUUGGGCCCGUACAAGAUUAUUUGUGGAAUAAAAAUAUUUAUUGAAAAUAUACCAAA
Long non-coding RNA from Gossypium raimondii (Peruvian cotton), 622 nucleotides. RefSeq lists it as uncharacterized. NCBI's taxonomy places the organism in Eukaryota, Viridiplantae, Streptophyta, Magnoliopsida, Malvales, Malvaceae. The transcript is spliced from 2 exons. The record is from RefSeq and is a predicted model, not a curated record.